This 428-nucleotide ribosomal RNA is filed under the name Plestiodon japonicus. RNAcentral describes it as "partial 16S ribosomal RNA". It matches the Rfam family "Bacterial large subunit ribosomal RNA", at positions 1970 to 2594 of the family's 2925-position model. Lineage: Eukaryota; Metazoa; Chordata; Lepidosauria; Squamata; Scincidae. The record is from RNAcentral.
UGUCUUCUAAAUAAAGACCAGUAUGAACGGCUAAAUGAGGACAAACCUGUCUCUUGCAACCAAUCAGUGAAACUGAUCUCCCGGUCCAAAAGCCGGGAUAACCCCAUAAGACGAGAAGACCCUGUGGAGCUUGAAACAAGCUACUAUGCACCACACAAGCUGCAACUAGUAGGCAGUUUUAAGUUGGGGCGACUUCGGAACCAAAAAAAACUUCCGAGCACAGAACCACCCACUCUUACCAAGACUAACAAGUCAAAGUCAAAAACGACCCAGUAACACUGAUCAACGAACUAAGUUACCCCAGGGAUAACAGCGCCAUCUUCUUCAAGAGUUCAUAUCGACAAGAAGGUUUACGACCUCGAUGUUGGAUCAGGACACCCCAAUGGUGCAGCCGCUAUUAAAGGUUCGUUUGUUCAACGAUUAAUAGU